Molecule: ribosomal RNA, 254 nt
Filed under: uncultured bacterium
Lineage: Bacteria
Description: partial 16S ribosomal RNA
Rfam family: Bacterial small subunit ribosomal RNA
Source: RNAcentral
UACGAAGGGGGGCGAGCGUUGUUCGGAUUUACUGGGCGUAAAGGGCGCGCAGGCGGCUCAUUUUGUCAGGCGUGAAAGCCCCGGGCUUAACCUGGGAGGUGCGUUUGAUACGGAUGGGCUAGAGUUCGGGAGAGGAGAGUGGAAUUCCCAGUGUAGAGGUGAAAUUCGUAGAUAUUGGGAAGAACACCGGUGGCGAAGGCGGCUCUCUGGACCGAGACUGACGCUGAGGCGCGAAAGCGUGGGGAGCAAACAGG